AUUGAACGCUGGCGGCAUGCCUUACACAUGCAAGUCGAACGGCAGCACGGGAGCAAUCCUGGUGGCGAGUGGCGAACGGGUGAGUAAUAUAUCGGAACGUGCCCAGUCGUGGGGAUAACGUAGCGAAAGCUACGCUAAUACCGCAUACGAUCUAUGGAUGAAAGCGGGGGAUCGCAAGACCUCGCGCGAUUGGAGCGGCCGAUAUCAGAUUAGGUAGUUGGUGAGGUAAAGGCUCACCAAGCCGACGAUCUGUAGCUGGUCUGAGAGGACGACCAGCCACACUGGGACUGAGACACGGCCCAGACUCCUACGGAGGCAGCAGUGGGGAAUUUUUGGGACAAUGGGCGCAAGCCUGAUCCAGCAAUGCCGCGUGCAGGAUGAAGGCCUUCGGG
RNAcentral lists this ribosomal RNA (392 nucleotides) under uncultured bacterium. RNAcentral's name for it is "bacterial SSU rRNA". It matches the Rfam family "Bacterial small subunit ribosomal RNA", at positions 30 to 422 of the family's 1533-position model. The record is from RNAcentral.